RNAcentral lists this ribosomal RNA (422 nucleotides) under uncultured eukaryotic phytoplankton. RNAcentral describes it as "bacterial SSU rRNA". It matches the Rfam family "Bacterial small subunit ribosomal RNA", at positions 358 to 795 of the family's 1533-position model. The record is from RNAcentral.
GGAAUUUUCCGCAAUGGGCGAAAGCCUGACCGAGCAACGCCGCGUGAGGGAUGAAGGCCUCUGGGCUGUAAACCUCUUUUAUCAAGGAAGAAGAUCUGACGGUACUUGAUGAAUAAGCCACGGCUAAUUCCGUGCCAGCAGCCGCGGUAAUACGGGAGUGGCAAGCGUUAUCCGGAAUUAUUGGGCGUAAAGCGUCCGCAGGCGGUCUGUCAAGUCUGCUGUUAAAGACUGGGGCUCAACCCCAGAAAAGCAGUGGAAACUGCUAGACUUGAGUGUGGUAGAGGUAGAGGGAAUUCCUAGUGUAGCGGUGAAAUGCGUAGAUAUUAGGAAGAACACCAAUGGCGAAGGCACUCUACUGGGCCAUAACUGACACUCAGAGACGACAGCUAGGGGAGCAAAUGGGAUUAGAUACCCCAGUAGUC